UACGUAGGGUGCGAGCGUUAAUCGGAAUUACUGGGCGUAAAGCGUGUGCAGGCGGUUUUGUAAGCCAGAUGUGAAAGCCCCGGGCUUAACCUGGGAAUGGCAUUUGGGACUGCAAGGCUUGAGUGCGGCAGAGGAGACUGGAAUUCCCGGUGUAGCGGUGAAAUGCGCAGAUAUCGGGAGGAACACCUAUGGCGAAGGCAGCUCGCUGGGACGUUACUGACGCUGAGACGCGAAAGCGUGGGGAGCAAACAGG
This 253-nucleotide ribosomal RNA is filed under the name uncultured bacterium. RNAcentral describes it as "partial 16S ribosomal RNA". It matches the Rfam family "Bacterial small subunit ribosomal RNA", at positions 524 to 776 of the family's 1533-position model. The record is from RNAcentral.